Molecule: ribosomal RNA, 497 nt
Filed under: uncultured bacterium
Lineage: Bacteria
Description: partial 16S ribosomal RNA
Rfam family: Bacterial small subunit ribosomal RNA
Source: RNAcentral
GAUGAACGCUGGCGGCGUGCCUAAUACAUGCAAGUCGAGCGAACGGACGAGAAGCUUGCUUCUCUGAUGUUAGCGGCGGACGGGUGAGUAACACGUGGAUAACCUACCUAUAAGACUGGGAUAACUUCGGGAAACCGGAGCUAAUACCGGCUAAUAUUUUGAACCGCAUGGUUCAAAAGUGAAAGACGGUCUUGCUGUCACUUAUAGAUGGAUCCGCGCUGCAUUAGCUAGUUGGUAAGGUAACGGCUUACCAAGGCAACGAUGCAUAGCCGACCUGAGAGGGUGAUCGGCCACACUGGAACUGAGACACGGUCCAGACUCCUACGGGAGGCAGCAGUAGGGAAUCUUCCGCAAUGGGCGAAAGCCUGACGGAGCAACGCCGCGUGAGUGAUGAAGGUCUUCGGAUCGUAAAACUCUGUUAUUAGGGAAGAACAUAUGUGUAAGUAACUGUGCACAUCUUGACGGUACCCAAUCAGAAAGCCACGGCUAACUACGUG